GGCAUCGCUGGGUAGCUAUGUUCGGAAAGGAUAAGCGCUGAAAGCAUAUAAGCGCGAAACCAAUUCCAAGAUGAGAUUUCCCUACCACAAGGUAAUAAGGCUCGUCGGAGACGACGACGUUGAUAGGCCACAAGUGUAAGAAUGGUAACAUUUUCAGCUGAGUGGUACUAAUUAGCCGAAUGGCUUUACCAA
RNAcentral lists this ribosomal RNA (192 nucleotides) under Fidelibacterota bacterium. Its description in RNAcentral is "partial 23S ribosomal RNA". It matches the Rfam family "Bacterial large subunit ribosomal RNA", at positions 2734 to 2925 of the family's 2925-position model. Lineage: Bacteria; Pseudomonadati; Fidelibacterota. The record is from RNAcentral.